This 249-nucleotide ribosomal RNA is filed under the name uncultured bacterium. Its description in RNAcentral is "partial 16S ribosomal RNA". It matches the Rfam family "Bacterial small subunit ribosomal RNA", at positions 524 to 769 of the family's 1533-position model. The record is from RNAcentral.
CACGUAGGCACCAAGCGUUGUCCGGAUUUAUUGGGCGUAAAGAGCUCGUAGGCGGUUCAGUAAGUCAGGUGUGAAAUCUUUGGGCUUAACCCAAAGCGUGCACUUGAUACUGCUGUGACUUGAGUUCGGGUAGGGGAGUGGGGAAUUCCUAGUGUAGCGGUGAAAUGCGCAGAUAUCAGGAGGAACACCGGUGGCGAAGGCGGGUCUCUGGGCCGUAACUGACGCUGGAGGAGCGAAAGCAUGGGGAGC